CCCGCCUACGCUUCCCGGCACCCUAAAGCGAGGGCCCGGCGCCUCCUAAUCCAUGAGAAGUUCCCUCGAGACCCCGCGAAGCACCUCCCUUCCCCUCCACGCGCAAGUACACCAGCCCGUGUGGGACCCCGAGUGACGUGCUACGUGGUCAUGCACCAUCAUUUCCCUUCCACCUUCCUCCUCGCCGCUUCCUCUCCCUCCACCGCCCAGCUCCAGUUGCUUUGCCUUUUUCCAAGUUCAGGCGGUGGGUGAAACCUGUUGCUGUAGCUCCUGUUUCCUUCCCUCUCCGAGCUCCACGCGGAGGAUGACCUCGGAGAAGUGUUUGUUGGGGAAUGGAGGGGUACAUGGGACUGAUAACGUGGCAUGGUGGUGGAGAAUCUGUUACAAAGGUUUGGUGGGCCUCCAAGGUCCAGGGGGCCCACCCUCAGUCAAGGAGACAUUAAAGGAUGGGCAGAGGUGGGUGACAGGCGAUAUGCUGCUGUCUGAUGCGGGAGGUUUGCUUCCUUAAAAUGUUCAGGAAACAGUCCAAAAGGCUGUGUAGGGUUUUUAGAAAAACACGGACUUCGCGAAUUUGGCAGCUCAUCCCGUUAGAAACUGCGUUUCAGUAAUUGAAAGACAGCAACCCUUGGGAAACAUGGAUGGGUCACACAGCACUUUUUAAGGAUUAAGAAUUAACUGUGAAGGAAACAUGCAGACCUGUAAGAACUGGAAGCCAGGAAAACCCUCUUCUGUGGCGUUUAUGAAAAACAGCACUUAUAACUUAAAUGUUCUCUCUCAUACACACAAAUAAAUAUAUGAGGUGAUGGAUGUGCUGAUUAGAUGGAGGAAAUCCUUUCACAAUAUGUAUCAAAUCACCACAAUUCAUGUCAAUUAUAUUAAAGCUGAAACAAUUUUUAAAGGAAAAAAAAAACCCAUUUUACAACGGAUUGGGGAAAACUAGUUUCCCUGAGGUUCCAGAUUUGGGCUUGUUACUAAUUAUUGCCUGUGAUUUCUAGCCUGGACUCUGGCCACUACCCUGGCUUUGGUACCCUCCAGAUGGAGGGGCUGGGGAAUGCUUGGAAUUCUUCGGUAGGGAGUGGCUGCCACCCUGACAUUUCUUCUAGGUCCUGACUGGGGCUUGGUGCACAGACCCUUUGUUUAAGGGAUUUCGGUGAAAUGUGACGCCUCUUCCAGCUCUCAGGUCACACAAACACAAGACUGCAAGGCGGACUGGGCCCACAGGCCACAGCUGGCUGACCUCUGCACUAAAGGCACUAUUUACAAUAGCCAAGAAUUGGAAGCAACCUAAAUGUCCAUCGAUAGAUGGAUGGAUAAAGAAGAUGUGGUACAUAUACACAAUGGAAUACUACUCAGCCGUAAGAAAAGGGCAAAUCCUACCAUUUGCAGCAAUAUGGAUGGAGCUGGAGAGUAUUAUGCUCAGUGAAACAAGCCAAGCAGAGAAAGAGAAAUACCAAAUGAUUUCACUCAUCUG
Manis pentadactyla (Chinese pangolin) is the source of this 1471-nucleotide long non-coding RNA. RefSeq lists it as uncharacterized. NCBI's taxonomy places the organism in Eukaryota, Metazoa, Chordata, Mammalia, Pholidota, Manidae. The record is from RefSeq and is a predicted model, not a curated record. The transcript is spliced from 3 exons.